GGGAGAGCUUAAGGUGGAAACUGGGAAGUAUCAAUAGUCUGGAUUUUUGCAAUAUGGGGAAGUGCAACCAAAUGGAUAGCUUUAUUACACCUUCUUUAAGAUGAGAAAUUAUAAACUCCAUAGAGAUCUAUAUAUUUUCUGAUUGAGUUCCAAAUGGCCGGUUUGAGCUUGCAUUCUCUGGUGGCUUGUUUCUUUUGGUUAAGGGACACCAGGAAGCCAUUAAGGGGCAGCAUGGGUUGUGAGUAGCUCAACUAUUGAAUGUCCUUCACUUUAGUUAAUUUUUGAUAGGAUAAUUAGCACAGUUCUCAAAAUUUUGUUUAUUCCAUUUUUUUUAU
RNAcentral lists this unclassified non-coding RNA (335 nucleotides) under Hevea brasiliensis (rubber tree). Lineage: Eukaryota; Viridiplantae; Streptophyta; Magnoliopsida; Malpighiales; Euphorbiaceae. The record is from RNAcentral.